Molecule: ribosomal RNA, 465 nt
Filed under: uncultured bacterium
Lineage: Bacteria
Description: partial 16S ribosomal RNA
Rfam family: Bacterial small subunit ribosomal RNA
Source: RNAcentral
CCUACGGGAGGCAGCAGUAGGGAAUCUUCCACAAUGGGCGAAAGCCUGAUGGAGCAACGCCGCGUGGGUGAAGAAGGUCUUCGGAUCGUAAAACCCUGUUGUUAGAGAAGAAAGUGCGUGAGAGUAACUGUUCACGUUUCGACGGUAUCUAACCAGAAAGCCACGGCUAACUACGUGCCAGCAGCCGCGGUAAUACGUAGGUGGCAAGCGUUAUCCGGAUUUAGUGGGCGUAAAGGGAACGCAGGCGGUCUUUUAAGUCUGAUGUGAAAGUCUUCGGCUUAACCGGAGUAGUGCAUUGGAAACUGGGCGACUUGAGUGCAGAAGAGGGGAGUGGAACUCCAUGUGUAGCGGUGAAAUGCGUAGAUAUAAGGAAGAACACCAGUGGCGAAGGCAGCUCUCUGGUCUGUAACUGACGCUGAGGUUCGAAAGCGUGGGUAGCAAACAGGAUUAGAUACCCCGGUAGUC